RNAcentral lists this ribosomal RNA (803 nucleotides) under uncultured archaeon. RNAcentral's name for it is "bacterial SSU rRNA". It matches the Rfam family "Archaeal small subunit ribosomal RNA", at positions 67 to 872 of the family's 1478-position model. The record is from RNAcentral.
UGUAGUAUACAAGGCAGACGGCUCAGUAACGCGUAGUCAACCUACCCUAUGGACGGGGAUAACCUCGGGAAACUGAGAAUAAUACCCGAUAGAACAUUAUGCCUGGAAUGGUUUAUGUUUCAAAUAAUUUAUUGCCGUAGGAUGGGACUGCGGCCUAUCAGUUUGUUGGUGAGGUAAUGGCCCACCAAGACUAUUACAGGUACGGGCUCUGAGAGGAGUAGCCCGGAGAUGGGUACUGAGACACGGACCCAGGCCCUAUGGGGCGCAGCAGGCGAGAAAACUUUGCAAUGUGCGAAAGCACGACAAGGUUAAUCCGAGUGGUUUCUGCUAAAGGAACCUUUUGUCAGUCCUAGAAACACUGAUGAAUAAGGGGUGGGCAAGUUCUGGUGUCAGCCGCCGCGGUAAAACCAGCACCUCAAGUGGUCAGGAUGAUUAUUGGGCCUAAAGCAUCCGUAGCCUGCUUUGUAAGUUUUCGGUUAAAUCCAUACGCUCAACGUAUGGGCUGCCGGGAAUACUGCAAAGCUAGGGAGUGGGAGAGGUAGACGGUACUCGGUAGGAAGGGGUAAAAUCCUUUGAUCUAUUGAUGACCACCUGUGGCGAAGGCGGUCUACCAGAACACGUCCGACGGUGAGGGAUGAAAGCUGGGGGAGCAAACCGGAUUAGAUACCCGGGUAGUCCCAGCUGUAAACUAUGCAAACUCAGUGAUGCAUUGGCUUGAUGCCAAUGCAGUGCUGCAGGGAAGCCGUUAAGUUUGCCGCCUGGGAAGUACGUACGCAAGUAUGAAACUUAAAGGAAUUGGCGGG